UAGGGAAUAUUAGAAAUGGACGAAAGUCUGAUCUAGCAACACCGCGUGUGCGAUGAAGGCCUUCGGGUCGUAAAGCACUUUUUGGAAGGAAUAGGAAGGAAUGUACUUCCAUAAUAAGUCUCGGCUAACUACGUGCCAGCAGCCGCGGUAACACGUAGGAGGCAAACGUUAUCCGGAUUUACUGGGCGUAAAGCGCGUGUAGGUGGUACUGUAAGUAGGGCGUGAAAGCUCCUGGCUCAACUGGGAGAGGCCGUUCUAAACUACAGAACUAGAGGAUGGUAGAGGGAGGUGGAAUUCCAGGUGUAGCGGUGGAAUGCGCAGAUAUCUGGAGGAACACCGGUGGCGAAGGCGGCCUCCUGGACCAUUCCUGACACUCAGACGCGAAAGCUAGGGUAGCAAACA
Molecule: ribosomal RNA, 402 nt
Filed under: uncultured bacterium
Lineage: Bacteria
Description: bacterial SSU rRNA
Rfam family: Bacterial small subunit ribosomal RNA
Source: RNAcentral